Molecule: long non-coding RNA, 972 nt
Organism: Candoia aspera
Lineage: Eukaryota; Metazoa; Chordata; Lepidosauria; Squamata; Candoiidae
Exons: 2
Source: RefSeq, a predicted model, not a curated record
CAUACCAAAUAUUCUGGGCAAAUUUCUACUCAGCCUGGGCCCUUCACCUCAACACUGUGUGGCCCCAGAAAACACCUUCUUCCUCACAGCUUAACGCUUUAGAGAAAGGGGAAACUGCUAUCUGUCUGCUAUCUCCCCUCUUCAUUUCAUCUGAAAAAAAUCUCAGAAAACCUUUGGAAAGGCCCCAAGCUAAGCUCCUGUAGACAUUCCAUCACAAAGCGCCAAACGGUUUCCGUAAAUAUUGUCACGGCAGAGACACCCUGAUUGAACCUCUUCGGUCACCAUCACGAUGCCACGUGCAUUCCAGAUCGUGACACCCUUUUGAAACCUCCCGUAAGAAACUGGGGACAUGGUUAAUUCUGCUGGCUAUGGAUCAAUUCAGCUGGCCGUUUGCCGCUAUCCCAAUGCCCGAAGAGAGGAGAUGUGAUUCUUUCAGCAGUGCAGAUAGAUCAAGAAAGAGAUCCCGUUCUUGACAUGGCCACCACCGUGGAGGAAAGCUAAGCGACCACUGGAGAAUCACCCACUGGGGCAAAGCCCUUCACCACGAGGAGGAGAAAGAGGAAGAUCUGGAGAAAGGCCUUUAAAGAGCCACCCACCACAGGAAGGCAUUUAAGGAGUAUUAGGAAAUGCUCAAGUAACUACACAGUGAUAGGUCAGUAGCAAUGUAGCCUAUAUUUACAUACACACACAUCCCUGAAGUAAUGCCAUCUGACGGGACCUAGGAGGCACGCUUUUUCCACUGCAGCAUUGCUCUCUGGACCGAUCUUCCCCCGACACACACAACGUAUGGUUGGCCCCAACUCUGUUGGCUUUUAGGAAGGCAUUAAAAACUUGGUUCUUUCCCCAGCAUUGGGACCAGGAUGAUAGGAAUUCCGAGGUGAGGUGAGGUAUUGUGGCAUAUUGUGGGUUCCUGAUUGCCUAUGAAGUGUAGUUGUUGUGAUUUUGAAUGUAAUUAUAUUUGUUUCUUUUUGA